UCUCCAAUUCACCAUGUCUUCUCCGGUGCAGAACAGCACCGCCACCACUCUUUCUCCUCCUCCUCUCCCCCCACCACCUCCGCCGCCUAACAAUUGGGGGCCGUACUCUGGCGCCAAGGACUUCGACGCCAACAUGGUUAGCAUCCUCGUCGUGCUCGUGUGCGCGGCGGCGCUCACCUUCGCCCUCCACGCCGCCUUCCGCCUCCUGCGCCGCCGCUGCCUCCCCCGGUCUGCCGCCCAAGCGGACAAGCCCGGGACGGCAACGGCCGCACCGCAGCAGCUCCUCCCGGGGCCCGUGGUGUUCUCCGUGAGGGCGACUGCGGUGGCGGGCGCGCCGGAGUGCGCCAUCUGCCUUGCGGAGCUGGUGGAGGGCGACCGCGUCCACGUUCUGCCGGCCUGCAACCACGGGUUCCACGCGCAGUGCGUCGAGACGUGGUUCGUCGGCCGCUCCUCCUGCCCCACCUGCCGGACCGAGUGCCGUCCGCCGCCGCCGCCGGAACCGUGAGA
Molecule: long non-coding RNA, 507 nt
Filed under: Musa acuminata (dwarf banana)
Lineage: Eukaryota; Viridiplantae; Streptophyta; Magnoliopsida; Zingiberales; Musaceae
Description: long non-coding RNA (MACU_LNC002590)
Source: RNAcentral